AUUGAACGCUGGCGGCAUGCCUUACACAUGCAAGUCGAACGGUAACAGGUCUUCGGAUGCUGACGAGUGGCGAACGGGUGAGUAAUACAUCGGAACGUGCCCGAUCGUGGGGGAUAACGAGGCGAAAGCUUUGCUAAUACCGCAUACGAUCUACGGAUGAAAGCGGGGGAUCUUCGGACCUCGCGCGGACGGAGCGGCCGAUGGCAGAUUAGGUAGUUGGUGGGAUAAAAGCUUACCAAGCCGACGAUCUGUAGCUGGUCUGAGAGGAUGAUCAGCCACACUGGGACUUAGACACGGCCCAGACUCCUACGGGAGGCAGCAGUGGGGAACUUUGGACAAUGGGCGAAAGCCUGAUCCAGCCAUGCCGCGUGCAGGAUGAAGGCCUUCGGGUUGUAAACUGCUUUUGUACGGAACGAAAAGCCUCUUUCUAAUAAAGAGGGGUCAUGACGGUACCGUAAGAAUAAGCACCGGCUAACUACGUG
This 482-nucleotide ribosomal RNA is filed under the name uncultured bacterium. RNAcentral's name for it is "partial 16S ribosomal RNA". It matches the Rfam family "Bacterial small subunit ribosomal RNA", at positions 30 to 507 of the family's 1533-position model. The record is from RNAcentral.